Long non-coding RNA from Mustela lutreola (European mink), 677 nucleotides. RefSeq lists it as uncharacterized. The transcript has 2 exons. NCBI's taxonomy places the organism in Eukaryota, Metazoa, Chordata, Mammalia, Carnivora, Mustelidae. The record is from RefSeq and is a predicted model, not a curated record.
CAAAUGUCAUCUAAACAUUUGUUCAAUGAUGUUACUAGUAUGAGAACUGGAGGAAAACAACACAUUCAAAACAAUAACAUUGGAAUGCAAGUUUCAUGUAAUAAGGGCUCACUGAUGACUUCUCUCUACCAGCAGUCAAGACUUCUCUUCUGAUUCAUGCUGCUAAUGGCCAUCUGGACAACUUCACUUCAACUGCCUACGCGUGGGCACAAGAAAGACAUUUUGAACUACUGUGGCUGUUUCACUCAAUGUUUUUGAUCACAUAUUUUAGCUGGGCUAAUAUUGAUGACAUUUCGUCAAGAAACUCCAUUCAGCAACUCCAUUAAGCCAAUUUAAUUUUUGAUCAAUUUCCUCUGCAAUAUAUUUCCAUUUUGUUGUAAUUAUUUUCAUUGGGAUCCAGUUUCUUCUAUAUGUUUUAUAAUGGAGACUUAGUCAAUUUUUGGUUCAUUUCAAAUUUUACCAAUGUAUCUUCUGCGACUAAGUUCUCUUGUGGCUACUAUACCUAUAAAAUUCAAAUUUCUUCGUCAAAAAUUUCGAUUUAAACUUUGUCAAAAUUUCAUUCUUCCACCAAUUUUUAAUGAUGUGUGGUUUUAACGGAUUUGAAUUUAACUUGGACAGAGUAUUUCUACCAUUAAUAUUCAUUAUAAACUGAAUAAAGAUCAACAGUUUAUAUUUAA